AUGCCGCGUGUAUGAAGAAGGCCUUCGGGUUGUAAAGUACUUUCAGCAGUGAGGAAGGUGGUGCAGUUAAUAGCUGUAUCAUUUGACGUUAGCUACAGAAGAAGCACCGGCUAACUCCGUGCCAGCAGCCGCGGUAAUACGGAGGGUGCGAGCGUUAAUCGGAAUUACUGGGCGUAAAGCGCAUGCAGGCGGCCUGUUAAGUCAGAUGUGAAAGCCCGGGGCUUAACCUCGGAAUUGCAUUUGAAACUGGCAGGCUAGAGUCUUGUAGAGGGGGUAGAAUUUCAGGUGUAGCGGUGAAAUGCGUAGAGAUCUGAAGGAAUACCAGUGGCGAAGGCGGCCCCCUGGACAAAGACUGACGCUCAGAUGCGAAAGCGUGGGGAGCAAACAGGAUUAGAUACCCUGGUAG
This 406-nucleotide ribosomal RNA is filed under the name uncultured bacterium. Its description in RNAcentral is "bacterial SSU rRNA". It matches the Rfam family "Bacterial small subunit ribosomal RNA", at positions 394 to 793 of the family's 1533-position model. The record is from RNAcentral.